Molecule: RNA transcript, 1461 nt
Organism: Cucumis sativus (cucumber)
Lineage: Eukaryota; Viridiplantae; Streptophyta; Magnoliopsida; Cucurbitales; Cucurbitaceae
Gene name: calmodulin-binding protein 60 G-like
Exons: 8
Source: RefSeq, a predicted model, not a curated record
UCCACAGAAUAUCAAAAUGGAUAUAUUAGAAACUGCAGAAAACACUUGUGAUCUCGAAGAAAUUGAACAUCAAACUCAUUUCAACACAAUUCACCUAUCCUUAAUCCAAAGUUUCGAAACUCAAUCUGUUAUUCCAUCCGAGGAUUUGUCUCCUAAAGAAGAGAACAUACCUCAAGAAAAUGAAUUAAAGCAGGUCGAGGAUGUGGUGAAGAUUGAAGUUGAUUCUCACCGAAGAUCCAUUCUGCCAAGAAGCAGCCAACUUAGUAACCAAUUAGGAUUAGAAAGAACUGUAAUUGGAUAUAAAAAUUUGAAGCUCAAGCUAUCUUUCAUUAAUCAAAUAGCUCCCACCAUUUUCACCAACAAUGAAAUAAAAGCCAAAAAUGGAAAACCACUAGUAGUUGCAAUUUGUGAUAAUACUACCAACUCCAAAGCUAUCAUCAAGACAGGUAUGUUGUCGAGGGCCUUGGUUGAGUUCGUCGUCCUCGACGGUGAAUUCGGAUUCAAUCUACGACGAGAGAAAAAUAAUUGGAAUGAUUUUAACGAAAGUAUUGUUUCUGAAAGAGUGGGGAAAAGGCCCUUAAUUGUUGGGAAUGAUAAGAUAAUUCUCUUGGAAAAUGGGUUUGGACAGCUUAAUGAUUUGAGCUUUACUGACAAUUCAAGUUGGACCAAAACUAAGAAGUUUAGAUUGGGAGUGAAAUUUGUGGAUGAGGAAAUCAAAACUAAAUUUCCAGGAAUUGAGGGAGCUGUCUCCGAACCCUUUAGAGUGAUGGAUCAGCGUGGUAAAGGGUACAAGAAACACCACCCUCCAAGUAGGAAAGAUGAACUAUAUCGAUUGGAAGGAAUUGCCAAAAAUGGUGCAUAUCACCAACGCUUGUCCUCCAACGGAAUAGAAAAUGUGGGUGAUCUUUUGAAGGUUUAUAAACAAAAGGGUUCUAUUUACUUAAAACAGCUACUUGGAGAGAAAGUCCCUGAAAAGAUAUGGAGUAAGAUGAUUAAUAAUGCUUUAGAAUGUGAUUCAGUGGAAAAGGAAGCUAAUUUUAAAAACUUGGAAGAUAUGGAACUUUAUUAUCAAGACUUUCCAUCCUUCAAUCCAACCCCUACGUUUGUUUUGAAACGAAACUUAGCAACACUUGGGGGAUAAUUAUGAAGCAAUGAGAGCUGGCCAAGGUUUUGAAGGGACGAUGGGGGAGCAAGACAAGCACUAUUCCAUUUUCAAUAAUGAUUAUCCACCAUUGUUGCUACAUGGAGAGGCUUCAACCUCAUACCAACCAUAACUAUAAAGGGCGACCUUGCAAUGGGUUGGUGCCUAAACCCAAACAAAAGUAUUAUUACUCCAACAAAAAUAAUAUAGAGUGAGAAGUUUUCGGCCUUUUCUUUUUGGUUCAGUUUGAUUUCAAUUAUAGACCUUAUGACUAUUUUGAUUUUGAAUAAUGUUGAGUGUGAUGAGAACAUCUUUACUUC